AUUUCUAUUCCAUGUCCUAACUUCCUCCAAACAAAUACCCCUAAAAGUUAUGUUAAUACUUUUUAGUUCCUUUCAUGAUACAUCUAAAUAGACCAUUGAUACUAUUUUAAAGUGCACUCAUCUUGAAAUUUUACUAAACUUUGAUGUAAAGGACCUACGUAUUUUAGUUACGUUGGACAUGUUGAGAUAGAUUAUGUUGCUUUAUAAAAAUUCUUUGUGUACCGCUC
RNAcentral lists this long non-coding RNA (227 nucleotides) under Elaeis guineensis (African oil palm). RNAcentral describes it as "long non-coding RNA (EGUI_LNC032354)". Lineage: Eukaryota; Viridiplantae; Streptophyta; Magnoliopsida; Arecales; Arecaceae. The record is from RNAcentral.